GACGAACGCUGGCGGCGUGCUUAACACAUGCAAGUCGAACGGAAAGGCCCUGCUUGCAGGGUACUCGAGUGGCGAACGGGUGAGUAACACGUGGGUGAUCUGCCCUGCACUUCGGGAUAAGCCUGGGAAACUGGGUCUAAUACCGGAUAGGAGCCAUUUUUAGUGUGAUGGUUGGAAAGUUUUUUCGGUGUAGGAUGAGCUCGCGGCCUAUCAGCUUGUUGGUGGGGUAAUGGCCUACCAGGGCGGCGACGGGUAGCCGGCCUGAGAGGGUGGACGGCCACAUUGGGACUGAGAUACGGCCCAGACGCCUACGGGAGGCAGCAGUGGGGAAUAUUGCACAAUGGGCGCAAGCCUGAUGCAGCGACGCCGCGUGGGGGAUGACGGCCUUCGGGUUGUAAACUCCUUUCGCUAGGGACGAAGCUUUUUGUGACGGUACCUAGAUAAGAAGCACCGGCUAACUACGUG
This 465-nucleotide ribosomal RNA is filed under the name uncultured bacterium. RNAcentral describes it as "partial 16S ribosomal RNA". It matches the Rfam family "Bacterial small subunit ribosomal RNA", at positions 28 to 507 of the family's 1533-position model. The record is from RNAcentral.